UUGAAAACAUCAGGGGACUGAAGUGAGAGCAACUUAUGAAAACAUCCAUGAAAAGGACUCAAAUAUCUAGAAUAAAAAUAAAUGUCUUGCUGGCCAAGUUUGCAUCAUCAGAACCAGAUGGUUGUUCUUCAAGAGAUUCAUCUAUGGAAUCUGAAAGCACACUGUGAAGAAUACAACAGAUGUGUGGAGACACAAUUAUAGACACUCCAAUUAGAGGUCAAACUUGAGUUGAGGAGGCAAAGCGACACAAAUAAAACAAUUCCUAAAUUGGGUCCUAUGAAUGGCAAGUCUAAAAGUUCACCAAGGUGGAGGGCAGCCCUUCUUUGAACUUGAAACAAACCCAUAAAUAAAGAACUCCAUCCCCACCAGCACUCCCAAACAACUUGGUGGACAGAGAGCUCUGUAUUUCAUAGGAG
This is a long non-coding RNA of Lagenorhynchus albirostris (white-beaked dolphin), 416 nucleotides long. RefSeq lists it as uncharacterized. The record is from RefSeq and is a predicted model, not a curated record. NCBI's taxonomy places the organism in Eukaryota, Metazoa, Chordata, Mammalia, Artiodactyla, Delphinidae. The transcript is spliced from 3 exons.